This 467-nucleotide ribosomal RNA is filed under the name uncultured bacterium. RNAcentral's name for it is "partial 16S ribosomal RNA". It matches the Rfam family "Bacterial small subunit ribosomal RNA", at positions 28 to 507 of the family's 1533-position model. The record is from RNAcentral.
GAUGAACGCUGACAGAAUGCUUAACACAUGCAAGUCAACUUGAAUUUGGGUUUUUAACUUAGGUUUGGGUGGCGGACGGGUGAGUAACGCGUAAAGAACUUGCCUCACAGCUAGGGACAACAUUUGGAAACGAAUGCUAAUACCUAAUAUUAUGAUAAUAGGGCAUCCUAUAAUUAUGAAAGCUAUAAGCGCUGUGAGAGAGCUUUGCGUCCCAUUAGCUAGUUGGAGAGGUAACGGCUCACCAAGGCGAUGAUGGGUAGCCGGCCUGAGAGGGUGAUCGGCCACAAGGGGACUGAGACACGGCCCUUACCCCUACGGGAGGCAGCAGUGGGGAAUAUGGGACAAUGGACCGAGAGUCUGAUCCAGCAAUUCUGUGUGCACGAUGAAGUUUUUCGGAAUGUAAAGUGCUUUCAGUUGGGAAGAAACAAAUGACGGUACCAGCAGAAGAAGUGACGGCUAACUACGUG